RNAcentral lists this ribosomal RNA (449 nucleotides) under uncultured bacterium. Its description in RNAcentral is "partial 16S ribosomal RNA". It matches the Rfam family "Bacterial small subunit ribosomal RNA", at positions 29 to 523 of the family's 1533-position model. The record is from RNAcentral.
AGCGAACGCUGGCGGCAGGCCUAACACAUGCAAGUCGAGCGCCGUAGCAAUACGGAGCGGCAGACGGGAGAGUAACACGUGGGAACGUGCCCUUUGGUUCGGAACAACCCAGGGAAACUUGGGCUAAUACCGGAUAAGCCCUUACGGGGAAAGAUUUAUCGCCGAAGGAUCGGCCCGCGUCUGAUUAGCUAGUUGGUGGGGUAAUGGCCCACCAGGGCGACGAUCAGUAGCUGGUCUGAGAGGAUGAUCAGCCUCACUGGGACUGAGACACGGCCCAGACUCCUACGGGAGGCAGCAGAGGGGAAUAUUGGACAAUGGGCGCAAGCCUGAUCCAGCCAUGCCGCGUGGGUGAUGAAGGCCCUAGGGUUGUAAAGCCCUUUCGGCGGGGAAGAUAAUGACGGUACCCGCAGAAGAAGCCCCGGCUAACUUCGUGCCAGCAGCCGCGGUAA